Molecule: unclassified non-coding RNA, 297 nt
Filed under: Calonectria sp.
Lineage: Eukaryota; Fungi; Ascomycota; Sordariomycetes; Hypocreales; Nectriaceae
Description: partial contains 5.8S ribosomal RNA, internal transcribed spacer 2, and large subunit ribosomal RNA
Rfam family: 5.8S ribosomal RNA (bases 1-71)
Source: RNAcentral
GUGAGUCAUCGAAUCUUUGAACGCACAUUGCGCCCGCCAGUAUUCUGGCGGGCAUGCCUGUUCGAGCGUCAUUUCAACCCUCAAGCUCUGCUUGGUGUUGGGGAUCGGCAAGGCGUCCUCCGGGUCGCGCCGUCCCCCAAAUAUAGUGGCGGUCUCGCUGUAGCUUCCUCUGCGUAGUAAUACACCUCGCUCUGGAGUCUCGGUGCGACCACGCCGUAAAACCCCCAACUUUUUUCUGGUUGACCUCGAAUCAGGUAGGACUACCCGCUGAACUUAAGCAUAUCAAUAAGCGGAGGA